CCGCACGGGUGAGUAACACGUAUCCAACCUGCCGUCUACUCUUGGACAGCCUUCUGAAAGGAAGAUUAAUACAAGAUGGCAUCAUGAGUCCGCAUGUUCACAUGAAUUAAAGGUAUUCCGGUAGACGAUGGGGAUGCGUUCCAUUAGAUAGUAGGCGGGGUAACGGCCCACCUAGUCUUCGAUGGAUAGGGGUUCUGAGAGGAAGGUCCCCCACAUUGGAACUGAGACACGGUCCAA
RNAcentral lists this ribosomal RNA (237 nucleotides) under uncultured bacterium. RNAcentral's name for it is "partial 16S ribosomal RNA". It matches the Rfam family "Bacterial small subunit ribosomal RNA", at positions 98 to 334 of the family's 1533-position model. The record is from RNAcentral.